GCCCCUAAAGCUGAUUUUUGAAUAGAUGACGAAGCACAAAUAUACAAAAGGAUACAAAGUGAAAAGGUCACGUGUGAGAGACAGCUCGAUCAGGAGCGAGCAGGUGGCCUCUCUUUCUGCCUCCUGCUAGCUACCGUGAAAACAGUCAGCAGAGCCUGCAAACGCGCUCGCCGGGACUUCCUGUGGCCACACGGUCCUUUCUUGAAGAAAUGGCUGAUUCCACGCUUGGGACCAGGGACAGAAUAAGAUAAGCCCAGAACGUCUUUUUGCGCCAGAAAGUAAGGAAGUUCUCAAAGAAUCAUGAGGCAUCCUCGGGGACACAAGGCCCAGCGUGAGGGGCUCCCUCCAGCCCGUUUUGAGCAUCAGGUUAAGGAUGAUAGUAACAUGUCAUCACCCACUAAAUAAAACAGAAAACCAUAAGUCCAUACUGGCGUGAACAAAUGAAUUAAAACUUUGAUGAGGAACGAGCUAUUCCCAUCGUCUCAG
This 486-nucleotide long non-coding RNA is filed under the name Equus asinus (donkey). RNAcentral describes it as "lncRNA (ENSEASG00005027643.1)". The record is from RNAcentral. Lineage: Eukaryota; Metazoa; Chordata; Mammalia; Perissodactyla; Equidae.